Molecule: ribosomal RNA, 468 nt
Filed under: uncultured bacterium
Lineage: Bacteria
Description: partial 16S ribosomal RNA
Rfam family: Bacterial small subunit ribosomal RNA
Source: RNAcentral
GACGAACGCUGGCGGCGUGCUUAACACAUGCAAGUCGAACGGAAAGGCCCUGCUUUUGUGGGGUGCUCGAGUUGACACCUGGUGAGUAACACGUGAGUACCCUGUCCCUCACUUUGGGAUAACUUCAGGCCACUGGGUCUAUUACCGGCUAGGAGCUACUGCUGCAUGGUGGGGGUUGGAAGGUUUCGGCGGUUGGGCAUGGAAUCGCGGCUUAUCAGCUUGUUGGUGGGGUAGUGGCUUACCAAGGCUUUGACGGGUAGCCGGCCUGCGAGGGUGACCGGCCACAUUGGGACUGAGAUACGGCCCAGACUCCUACGGGAGGCAGCAGUGGGGAAUGUUGCACAAUGGGCGGAAGCCUGAUGCAGCAACGCCGCGUGCGGGAUGACGGCCUUCGGGUAGUAAACCGCUUUCGCCUGUGACGAAGCGUGAGUGACGGUAAUGGGUAAAGAAGCACCGGCUAACUACGUG